UUACAGCUUGUUUGGUUCAAUGUAAUAGGUAAACCAUUACAAUUCUAUUCAGUGGGCCCACCACAAACAGCAGUUUGGUUGAGUGGAAUACCCUGUGACGGGUGUAUUCCAUUACAGCCUUAUGCAGAGAAUAGAGAGCAUUUCUAUUCCCUCUCCUCCCCACCGAAUGGUCAUUCGUUGUUUGGAAAAUCAUUCAUCUCCCCAAUUUCUCACCUUCCUUCUUUCCUUUCUUCCUUAAACUCCAACCAGUAAAACUCCUCUCACUUAUCUCCGUCUGGUAAACAUUUUCCUCUAUUCUUUUGUUCCUUUCAUUUUCCUCUCUACAAAUUUUUCUUAGCCUAAAAUUUUUCUUCUCUUUUUGUUAUCCAUUUGAGUAGAUUUUGCUUCCUUCGCCUUCAUCGGAGUCUUCUUCAGGUAAAUCUUUUCACUUUUCCGUUGUUUCUUUUGUUUUCCUCUCUGCCAGUUUAAGUAAAGUUUGUUGUGGGUUUUUUUUUUCCUCAUUUGAUAGCUUACUUAAAUGGUCAGUCAUUGCUAAGAACAACACUAGAGAGAUUAAAAAGCUUCAUUUUUAAUUAAAAAAUCCCCUCUUUUCCUUUGAAAGUAAUCAUCCAUUCUUUAGAGAGGAGUACUCAUUUUGUUGUUGCUUCUAAAGUUUUUGACCUGUUAGCUCUAAAAAUUUGUAUUUUGAAGUACCAUGUAGUGUAGGAUUACAUUGGGUUUGGCAACCAUUGAUGAAUGAAUUUGAAUAGAAAGUUCAAAAUUUACCUCUAGUUGACAUGCCGAAAAGGGUUAGAAUGACCACAAUAUCAUGCAUUUUUGUUUCUAAUUCAAACUCUAAUGAUUGUUAGGCUAUGUGCUACUCUAUUAUCAUGUUUGAGAGUUUUAAGAGUGUGUAUGUUAAUGGAUUGUAAAUAUAAGGGGUACUUGUUUAUCGUGGGAAUCAGAUAACUGGAGUGUUAAGGCAAUCUGAAAAAAGACCACUGGAACUGGUAGGAUGAGGUAUCUUCGCCACGUUCCUCGUAGGUUCAAGAUUGGUCUCAGAGAAAGUACGAAAUUGCUAAUUUCAUUAUAUAAACAUAUUCUGUUCUAGUUUAAGGGCUUUUCCCCCUUUCAUUUUGUUAAAUAUUUGUGUUGGAUCAUGAUACUAGGUACUGAAGUAGCACCGAAGAAGAAGGUUGCAGCAGCUUUGGCUUAAGUUGGCUAUGAGGUUGUUUUGAUGAAUCCAUCUAUUUUAGUAAAAGUUUUAUGGGAACAUUACAUGAGAAAUGUCAUUUAUUAUAUUGGAUGCUUUUAAAUAUUUGUAGUUUCUAUUUUCAUGUAGCUGCUUAGGCUAUUGUUGCUUGACACUUAAUUACUGGAUAUUUUUUGGGUUGAAGUUAAUCAUGUGCUUGUUUCGGUUUUGAUGCCCUUCAUCUUGUUUCAAAUUAUAGUCUUCUUUAUUCGAGUAUUGUUGUUUGAAGUAUUUUCUACAUUUUGUGAGUUACAUUCUAGAAAAGUAUAAUCUUUGCUUGGCACUUACCAUAAUAAAAUUGGAGGUAUCAGUCCUUUUUAUUA
Molecule: long non-coding RNA, 1554 nt
Filed under: Gossypium barbadense (sea-island cotton)
Lineage: Eukaryota; Viridiplantae; Streptophyta; Magnoliopsida; Malvales; Malvaceae
Description: long non-coding RNA (GBAR_LNC006418)
Source: RNAcentral